This 873-nucleotide ribosomal RNA is filed under the name uncultured bacterium. RNAcentral describes it as "bacterial SSU rRNA". It matches the Rfam family "Bacterial small subunit ribosomal RNA", at positions 54 to 918 of the family's 1533-position model. The record is from RNAcentral.
CAUGCAAGUCGAGGGGAAACGGCAUUAAGUGCUUGCACUUUUUGGACGUCGACCGGCGCACGGGUGAGUAACGCGUAUCCAACCUGCCCCUUACCAGGGAAUAACCCGUUGAAAGACGGACUAAUGCCCUAUGCAGUCCUUUGACGGCAUCAGAUUAGGACUAAAGAUUCAUCGGUAUGGGAUGGGGAUGCGUCUGAUUAGCUUGUUGGCGGGGUAACGGCCCACCAAGGCAUCGAUCAGUAGGGGUUCUGAGAGGAAGGUCCCCCACAUAGGAACUGAGACACGGUCCUAACUCCUACGGGAGGCAGCAGUGAGGAAUAUUGGUCAAUGGGCGCUAGCCUGAACCAGCCAAGUAGCGUGCAGGAUGACGGCCCUAUGGGUUGUAAACUGCUUUUAUGCGGGGAUAAAGUCACCCACGUGUGGGUGUUUGCAGGUACCGCAUGAAUAAGGACCGGCUAAUUCCGUGCCAGCAGCCGCGGUAAUACGGAAGGUCCGGGCGUUAUCCGGAUUUAUUGGGUUUAAAGGGAGUGUAGGCGGCCUGUUAAGCGUGUUGUGAAAUGUAGAUGCUCAACAUCUGAACUGCAGCGUGAACUGGCUGGCUUGAGUACACGCAACGUGGGCGGAAUUCAUGGUGUAGCGGUGAAAUGCUUAGAUAUCAUGAGGAACUCCUAUUGCGAAGGCAGCUCACGGGAGUGUCACUGACGCUUAAGCUCGAAGGUGCGGGUAUCAAACAGGAUUAGAUACCCUGGUAGUCCGCACGGUAAACGAUGGAUGCCCGCUGUUGGCGCUUUGCGUCAGCGGCUAAGCGAAAGCAUUAAGCACCCCACCUGGGGAGUACGCCGGCAACGGUGAAACUCAAAGGAAUUGACGGGG